UACGGGGGGGGCAAGCGUUGUUCGGAAUUACUGGGCGUAAAGGGCGCGUAGGCGGCCUGCUAAGUCAGACGUGAAAUCCCUCGGCUUAACCGGGGAACUGCAUCUGAUACUGGAUGGCUUGAGUUUGGGAGAGGGAUGCGGAAUUCCAGGUGUAGCGGUGAAAUGCGUAGAUAUCUGGAGGAACACCGGUGGCGAAGGCGGCAUCCUGGACCAACACUGACACUGAGGAGCGAAAGCCAGGGGAGCAAACGGG
RNAcentral lists this ribosomal RNA (253 nucleotides) under uncultured bacterium. Its description in RNAcentral is "partial 16S ribosomal RNA". It matches the Rfam family "Bacterial small subunit ribosomal RNA", at positions 524 to 776 of the family's 1533-position model. The record is from RNAcentral.